CCCUUCCACUAGAGGGCUCCAAUCAUUGUUUACAUUUUUUGGGCUGUCUGACGUGCAAGGAAGAAAGAGACACGAUAGCCUUUUCAGCUACAGAGAGCCAAACAGAAAAAACAAAGCAGACAAAGAUUAAACCUGUCACUUAACUAUCCAAAUAACAUUGCCCCAACGUGUUUAACCGGCUGUCAUUAGGCUGUGUAUAGCCAGAGGGCAAUAAAAAAAAA
Archocentrus centrarchus (flier cichlid) is the source of this 221-nucleotide long non-coding RNA. RefSeq lists it as uncharacterized. The record is from RefSeq and is a predicted model, not a curated record. The transcript has 2 exons. Lineage: Eukaryota; Metazoa; Chordata; Actinopteri; Cichliformes; Cichlidae.